This 252-nucleotide ribosomal RNA is filed under the name uncultured bacterium. RNAcentral's name for it is "partial 16S ribosomal RNA". It matches the Rfam family "Bacterial small subunit ribosomal RNA", at positions 524 to 776 of the family's 1533-position model. The record is from RNAcentral.
UACAGAGGGUGCAAGCGUUGUUCGGAAUUAUUGGGCGUAAAGGGCGCGUAGGCGGUGCUGUAAGUCUGUAGUGAAAUCUCUGGGCUCAACUCAGAGUCUGCUAUAGAAACUGCAGUGCUAGAGUGUGGGAGAGGUGAGUGGAAUUCCCGGUGUAGCGGUGAAAUGCGUAGAUAUGGGAGGAACACCUGUGGCGAAAGCGGCUCACUGGACCACAACUGACGCUGAGGCGCGAAAGCUAGGGGAGCAAACAGG